UUCAUAUAGUCAUAGUGAGUUCAAUUCAUUCCUGGACCAUGUCAUGCAUGUGUAUACUCCAAAAUGGUGUAUUCAGUACUAGUAUGGGUAUGUAAUAAUGGUUACAUAUAUGAUUAGUUUCAUGAUAAUACAAGUUUGAUUGCUAAAUUAUUUAUUUUUCUAUUGAAUAAAAUAAACUAUUAUUUCACUUACUUUAAACUAGGCC
RNAcentral lists this long non-coding RNA (205 nucleotides) under Lupinus angustifolius (narrow-leaved blue lupine). RNAcentral describes it as "long non-coding RNA (LANG_LNC002926)". Lineage: Eukaryota; Viridiplantae; Streptophyta; Magnoliopsida; Fabales; Fabaceae. The record is from RNAcentral.